GAUCAAGCUCGUAAGAGUGCAUGGUGGAUGCCUUGGCGUCCAGAGGCGAUGAAAGACGUGGCAGCCUGCGAAAAGCUUCGGGGAGCUGGCAAACAAGCGAUAAUCCGAAGAUAUCUGAAUAGGGAAACCCGCCACCGCUGAAUAAGCGGUGACACUGUCGCAUGAAUGUAUAGUGCGAUGGAGCCAACUCAGGGAACUGAAACAUCUAAGUACCUGAAGGAAAAGAAAUCAACCGAGACUCCGUUAGUAGCGGCGAGCGAAAGCGGACCUAGCCCAAACCUGUCUUCGGACCGGGGUUGCGGACCCUCGAGGAGUUACAAAAGCGCAAUCAGCAGAACAGCUUGGAAAGGCUGGCGAUACAGGGUGACAGCCCCGUAUGCGACGAUUGAUGCUCUCCGUUGAGAGGUGUUCCAGAGUAGCACGAGUGCCGUGAAACCUCGUGUGAACCCGGGGGGCCCACCCUCCAAGGCUAAGUACUACUGGACGACCGAUAGUGAACAAGUAUGGCGACUGAAAGGUGAAAAGAACCGCAAUAAGCGGAGUAAAAAGAACCUGAAACCAUGCAUCUACAAGCAGUGGAAGACCUAUGGCCUUUGGCCCUGGUCAACCGCGUACCUUUUGCAUAAUGGACCGGCGAGUUAGUCCUACGUGGCAAGGCUAAGCUGCUUAAGCAGCGGAGCCGUAGCGAAAGCGAGUCUGAUAAGGGCGCUUUAGUCGCGUGGGCUAGACCCGAAACUGAGUGAUCUACCCAUGGUCAGAAUGAAGCAUCCGUAACAGGGUGCGGAGGUUCGAAGCCGUAAACGUUGAAAAGUUUUGGCAUGAACUGUGGGGAGGAGUAAAAGUCUAAUCAAACUCAGAGAUAUCUGGUUCUCCCCGAAAAUGCUCUAGGGCAUGCCUCAGGUCAUACGCUAUGGGGGUAGAGCUACUGAAUGGAUCGCGGGGGCUACCCGCCUACCGCCUCCAAUCAAACUCCGAAUACCACAAUAUUUAUCUUGGGAGAAAGUCCACAGGUGAUAACGUCAGUGGACAAAAGGGAAACAACCCAGACCACCAGCUAAGGCCCCCAAUAACAUCUAAGUGCGUAAGGAAGUUGGGUUUCUGUGACAGCGGGGAUGUUGGCUUAGAAGCAGCCACCAUUUAAAAAGUGCGUAAUAGCUUACCCGUCGAGAAAUCCGGCACCGAUAAUGAACGGGACUAAGGUGUUAGCCGAAGCUGUGGCUGUCAUGAAGCGAGAGCGACAUGACGGGGUAGGGGAGCGCUGUUAGUGCAGAUACAAGGCGUACCGCAAGGAGCGCUGUUGGGCCUAACAGGUGAGAAUGCCGGUUUAAGUAACGAGAAAGAGGGUGAAAAUCCCUCUCGCCGUAAGCCUAAGGUUUCCUGGGGAAGGGAGAUCCGCCCAGGGUUAGUCGGCCCCUAAGGCGAGGCCGAAAGGCGUAGCUGAUGGACAGCAGGUUAAUAUUCCUGCACUCCGUGUGGCGGUCGAUGUAGUCGUGCGUUUCUUCAAGAUGCAGCCCAUUAUUAGAUUAGGGCUCCCGCAAGGGCGAGGCCGAUUUGUUGCCGAAGUGUGCGGAGAAGGAACCGAGAAAAGCGGCUGCGGACAAGACACGGAACCGUACUAAAACUGACACAGGUAGGCGAGGAGAGUAUCCUCAGGCGCUCGAGAGAACGGUCCUUAAGGAACUAGGCAAAUUAACCCCGUAACUCCGGGAUAAGGGGUCCCCCAUUUUAGCAAUAACAUGGGGGGCGCAGAGAAUCGGGAGCGGCGACUGUUUAUCAAAAACACAGGACUCUGCUAACUCGCAAGAGGAUGUAUAGAGUCUGACGCCUGCUCGGUGCGGGAAUGUUAAGGAAGGCGGUCAAGGGGUUCGCCCCUGAAGCUGGCGACCGAAGCACCCGUAAACGGCGGCCCUAACUAUGAGGGUCCUAAGGUAGCGAAAUUCCUUGUCGGGUAAGUUCCGACGCGCAUGAAUGGCGAAACGACUGCUCCACUGUCUCGAGGACCGACUCGGUGAAAUAGGACUUGUGGUGAAGAUACCACAUACCCGCGGCAAGACGGAAAGACCCCGUGAACCUUUACUGUAUCCUGAUAUUGGAGCCGGUUAACACAUGCGUAGGAUAGGUGGGAGGCUUUGAUCCGCUGGUUUCGGCCAGCGGGGAGCCAUCGUUGAAAUACCACCCUUGUAUUAUUCGUCUCCUCACUCUGACCCGUGAAUCCGGGCAGAGGACAGUGUUAGGUGGGUAGUUUGACUGGGGCGGUCUCCUCCUAAAAAGUACCGGAGGAGCACAAAGGUCGGCUCAGCACGGUUGGCAAUCGUGCGUAGAGUGUAAGGGUAUAAGCCGGCUUAACUGUGAGUUAUACAGAACGAACAGAUACGAAAGUAGGUCCUAGUGAUCCGGUAGUCCCGUGUGGAAGGGCUAUCGCUCAACGGAUAAAAGGUACUCCGGGGAUAACAGGCUGAUGACCACCGAGCGUCCAUAGCGGCGUGGUCGUUUGGCACCUCGAUGUCGGCCCAUCGCAUCCUGGGGCUGAAGGCGGUCCCAAGGGUUUGGCUGUUCGCCAAUUAAAGCGGUACGCGAGCUGGGUUCAGACCGGCGUGAGCCAGGUCGGUCCCUAUCUUCCGUGGGCGUACGAAACGUGACAGAAGACAACCUUAGUACGAGAGGAUUGGGUUGUAGGCACCUCUAGUGCACCUGUUGUCCCGCUAGGGGCAGCGCAGGGUAGCCACGUGUCGAAAGGAUAAACGCUGAAUGCAUCUAAGCGUGAAGCCCCUCUGAAGAUGACGUUUCGAUGUUCGCAAGAACGAGAGACCCCUUGUAGACUACAAGGUUGAUAGGCCAGGUGUGUAAGGGCUGAGAGGCUCUUAGCUGACUGGUACUAACGGUCGAUUGCUUGAUCGC
This 2898-nucleotide ribosomal RNA is filed under the name Planctomycetota bacterium. RNAcentral describes it as "23S ribosomal RNA". It matches the Rfam family "Bacterial large subunit ribosomal RNA". Lineage: Bacteria; Pseudomonadati; Planctomycetota. The record is from RNAcentral.